UGUGUUUAUUAGAUACAAAACCAACCCACUUUGUGGAGUCCUGGUGAUUCAUAGUGACCGAACGGAUCGCAUUUGGGUUCGGCCCGCGAUGGAUCUUUCAAGUUUCUGACCUAUCAGCUUUCGACGGUAGGGUAUUGGCCUACCGUGGCAGUGACGGGUAACGGGGAAUUAGGGUUCGAUUCCGGAGAGGGAGCCUGAGAAACGGCUACCACAUCUAAGGAAGGCAGCAGGCGCGCAAAUUACCCAAUGAAAACAGUUUCGAGGUAGUGACGAGAAAUAACAAUACAGGGCAUUUUAUGCUCUGUAAUUGGAAUGAUGGGAAUGUAAAACCCUUUCAGAGUAACAAUUGGAGGGCAAGUCUGGUGCCAGCAGCCGCGGUAAUUCCAGCUCCAAUAGUGUAUAUUAGAGUUGUUGCAGUUAAAAAGCUCGUAGUUGGAUUUCUGUCGUGGUCAACCGGCGCCGCCCGUAUGGGUGCGCACCUGGUUUGCCCGUGGCAUUCUUCCGGUAGCCUUCCGCGCUUAAUUGCGUCCGUUGGUGUUUCGGAACUUUUACUUUGAGAAAAAUAGAGUGUUUCAAGCAGGCUUGUCGCCCUGAAUACUGCAGCAUGGAAUAAUAAGAUAGGACCUUGGUUCUAUUUUGUUGGUUUCUAGGACCUGGGUAAUGAUUAAUAGGGACAGUUGGGGGCAUUCGUAUUUAACUGUCAGAGGUGAAAUUCUUAGAUUUGUUAAAGACGAACUACUGCGAAAGCAUUUGCCAAGGAUGUUUUCAUUAAUCAAGAACGACAGUAGGGGGUUUGAAGACGAUUAGAUACCGUCGUAAUCUCUACCAUAAACUAUGCCGACUAGAGAUAGGGAAAUGCCUACCUUGGCUUCUCCUGCACCUCAUGAGAAAUCAAAGUCUCUGGGUUCUGGGGGGAGUAUGGUCGCAAGGCUGAAACUUAAAGGAAUUGACGGAAGGGCACCACCAGGCGUGGAGCCUGCGGCUUAAUUUGACUCAACACGGGGAAACUCACCAGGUCCAGACAUGGGAAGGAUUGACAGAUUGAUAGCUCUUUCUUGAUUCUAUGGGUGAUGGUGCAUGGCCGUUCUUAGUUGGUGGAGUGAUCUGUCUGGUUAAUUUCGAUAACGAACAAAACCUUAGCCUGCUAAAUAGGAUCGGGAACCUCGGUUUCCGCAUCACUUCUUAGAGGGACUUUGCGUGUCUAACCCAAGGAAGUUUGAGGCAAUAACAGGUCUGUGAUGCCCUUAGAUGUUCUGGGCUGCACGCGCGCUACACUGAUGCAUGCAACGAGUUCUUGACCUUGGCCGGAAGGUCUAGGUA
RNAcentral lists this ribosomal RNA (1320 nucleotides) under Trichoglossus haematodus (coconut lorikeet). RNAcentral describes it as "SSU rRNA". It matches the Rfam family "Eukaryotic small subunit ribosomal RNA", at positions 202 to 1548 of the family's 1831-position model. Lineage: Eukaryota; Metazoa; Chordata; Aves; Psittaciformes; Psittaculidae. The record is from RNAcentral.